This 1554-nucleotide ribosomal RNA is filed under the name Escherichia coli. RNAcentral's name for it is "bacterial SSU rRNA". It matches the Rfam family "Bacterial small subunit ribosomal RNA". Lineage: Bacteria; Pseudomonadati; Pseudomonadota; Gammaproteobacteria; Enterobacterales; Enterobacteriaceae. The record is from RNAcentral.
AAAUUGAAGAGUUUGAUCAUGGCUCAGAUUGAACGCUGGCGGCAGGCCUAACACAUGCAAGUCGAACGGUAACAGGAAUCAGCUUGCUGAUUCGCUGACGAGUGGCGGACGGGUGAGUAAUGUCUGGGAAACUGCCUGAUGGAGGGGGAUAACUACUGGAAACGGUAGCUAAUACCGCAUAACGUCGCAAGACCAAAGAGGGGGACCUUCGGGCCUCUUGCCAUCGGAUGUGCCCAGAUGGGAUUAGCUAGUAGGUGGGGUAACGGCUCACCUAGGCGACGAUCCCUAGCUGGUCUGAGAGGAUGACCAGCCACACUGGAACUGAGACACGGUCCAGACUCCUACGGGAGGCAGCAGUGGGGAAUAUUGCACAAUGGGCGCAAGCCUGAUGCAGCCAUGCCGCGUGUAUGAAGAAGGCCUUCGGGUUGUAAAGUACUUUCAGCGGGGAGGAAGGGAGUAAAGUUAAUACCUUUGCUCAUUGACGUUACCCGCAGAAGAAGCACCGGCUAACUCCGUGCCAGCAGCCGCGGUAAUACGGAGGGUGCAAGCGUUAAUCGGAAUUACUGGGCGUAAAGCGCACGCAGGCGGUUUGUUAAGUCAGAUGUGAAAUCCCCGGGCUCAACCUGGGAACUGCAUCUGAUACUGGCAAGCUUGAGUCUCGUAGAGGGGGGUAGAAUUCCAGGUGUAGCGGUGAAAUGCGUAGAGAUCUGGAGGAAUACCGGUGGCGAAGGCGGCCCCCUGGACGAAGACUGACGCUCAGGUGCGAAAGCGUGGGGAGCAAACAGGAUUAGAUACCCUGGUAGUCCACGCCGUAAACGAUGUCGACUUGGAGGUUGUGCCCUUGAGGCGUGGCUUCCGGAGCUAACGCGUUAAGUCGACCGCCUGGGGAGUACGGCCGCAAGGUUAAAACUCAAAUGAAUUGACGGGGGCCCGCACAAGCGGUGGAGCAUGUGGUUUAAUUCGAUGCAACGCGAAGAACCUUACCUGGUCUUGACAUCCACAGAACCCUGUAGAGAUACGGGGGUGCCUUCGGGAACUGUGAGACAGGUGCUGCAUGGCUGUCGUCAGCUCGUGUUGUGAAAUGUUGGGUUAAGUCCCGCAACGAGCGCAACCCUUAUCCUUUGUUGCCAGCGGUCCGGCCGGGAACUCAAAGGAGACUGCCAGUGAUAAACUGGAGGAAGGUGGGGAUGACGUCAAGUCAUCAUGGCCCUUACGACCAGGGCUACACACGUGCUACAAUGGCGCAUACAAAGAGAAGCGACCUCGCGAGAGCAAGCGGACCUCAUAAAGUGCGUCGUAGUCCGGAUUGGAGUCUGCAACUCGACUCCAUGAAGUCGGAAUCGCUAGUAAUCGUGGAUCAGAAUGCCACGGUGAAUACGUUCCCGGGCCUUGUACACACCGCCCGUCACACCAUGGGAGUGGGUUGCAAAAGAAGUAGGUAGCUUAACCUUCGGGAGGGCGCUUACCACUUUGUGAUUCAUGACUGGGGUGAAGUCGUAACAAGGUAACCGUAGGGGAACCUGCGGUUGGAUCACCUCCUUACCUUAAAGAAGC